This 468-nucleotide ribosomal RNA is filed under the name uncultured bacterium. RNAcentral describes it as "partial 16S ribosomal RNA". It matches the Rfam family "Bacterial small subunit ribosomal RNA", at positions 28 to 507 of the family's 1533-position model. The record is from RNAcentral.
GACGAACGCUGGCGGCGUGCUUAACACAUGCCAGUCGAACGGAAAGGCCCUGCUUUUGUGGGGUGCUCGAGUGGCGAACGGGUGAGUAACACGUGAGUAACCUGCCCUUGACUUUGGGAUAACUUCAGGAAACUGGGGCUAAUACCGGAUAGGAGCUCCUGCUGCAUGGUGGGGGUUGGAAAGUUUCGGCGGUUGGGGAUGGACUCGCGGCUUAUCAGCUUGUUGGUGGGGUAGUGGCUUACCAAGGCUUUGACGGGUAGCCGGCCUGGGAGGGUGACCGGCCACAUUGGGACUGAGAUACGGCCCAGACUCCUACGGGAGGCAGCAGUGGGGAAUAUUGCACAAUGGGCGGAAGCCUGAUGCAGCAACGCCGCGUGCGGGAUGACGGCCUUCGGGUUGUAAACCGCUUUCGCCUGUGACGAGGCGUGAGUGACGGUAAUGGGUAAAGAAGCACCGGCUAACUACGUG